RNAcentral lists this ribosomal RNA (374 nucleotides) under uncultured eukaryote. Its description in RNAcentral is "partial 18S ribosomal RNA". It matches the Rfam family "Eukaryotic small subunit ribosomal RNA", at positions 592 to 976 of the family's 1831-position model. The record is from RNAcentral.
CAAGAGCGUAUGUAAAAGUUGUUGCAGUUAAAAAGCUCGUAGUUGAACCUUGGGUUUGGUUGGCCGGUCCGCUUUUUUGCGAGUACUGGAUUCAACCGAGCCUUUCCUUCUGGCUAACCAGUCGUUUCGGCGGCUGGCGAACCAGGAUUUUUACUUUGAGAAAAUUAGAGUGUUCAAAGCAGGCAUUAGCUUGAAUAUAUUAGCAUGGAAUAAUAGAAUAGGACGUUAUGGUUCUAUUUUGUUGGUUUCUAGGACCAUCGUAAUGAUUAAUAGGGACGGUCGGGGGCAUCAGUAUUCAGUUGUCAGAGGUGAAAUGCUUGGAUUUACUGAAGACUAACUACUGCGAAAGCAUUUGCCAAGGACGUUUUCAUUAA